GGAGGUUGGGAUUUUAUUCUGUGUCAGCUUUGGAAGGUUGCCAUGGAAACUGAUGCCAUUCAUGAUGUAGCAGGAUCAGAGCCACCCAAGAAUCAGGACAUUUUAGGAACCCCAAGAACAUAAAGUAGAACCAGAAACUGCAGGGAGCAUUGACCUCACGUCAGUCAGGCACAGCCUUAGUAGGUUAACUGGUUUAAUCUUCACAAGAGCCGAAUGGGGCAGGCAUUGCUAUUGGCAGCAGAAUAUAAAGAGCACAGAGUCAGUCCAGUGCCUUCACCAACAGAAACCAUGUCACUUUUCAGGUUCCCUGCUCCCAUUUUUUUUCUUUCCAUCUGGUUUUGGGGUUUUUUUGUUUUGUUUGUUGUUGUUAUUUUGCUUUUUUUUUUUUUAAAAGCGGUACAUAUAUACAUUUCUAUCUUUCAGGAAGUAAGCCUAGAAGAAUAUCAGUUCAGAUCACUGUGACAGAACAACAAAUGGUCAAAGUGGAAUUAUUGCUUUUCCAAAAUCUUGCUACUCCUCCAUCAACUACAGGGUCUACUACUUUCCUUCGGCUUGAAUCUGGGCAGGACUUAGUAACUGAACUGACACACAUCGCAAGCAACUUUAAAGCAAAGGGGACCUGGCUUUUGCCUGGCUUACUAAUUAUCUUGGGACUUGGUUCUUAGGAUAUGUGAUCUUCUGGCCACCAUGUUGUAGGGGAAACUAUGUGGUCCUGGUUCUAAGUGACAGCCCACCGGUUUGUAAAUGAGGCUCUGUGAGGCUGACCCACCUGUUUGCCUCGCUACCAUGAGGCUAUAUUCUGCUCCAUCAUAGGUAUUCUGUUAGCAUCAGAAGGGGGCUGGCAAUGAUGCAAAUGAUAAAUUCGUCGUUUCAGUUGGCUUUGCUCAUCAGAAUUGCGGUACUGUGUUUUUUUACCUCUUAUGUGAAUGUGUGUGCAUAAGUGUCACUUGCAGCUAUCCGCAAACUAAGAAUAAACCUUGCCUUUACGUCCUUCAGAAUAGGCAAUGCUUAUCUCUAUACGUAGAAUCUAUAAGAACCCAGAGAUAAUGGAAGUGACUGAAAAAUCAGAAUAUGGGAGUUAUUUACAUUACAAAACAUGGAAAAAUUGGUCUAAAAUGGUAGUUAACUUUAAUUAUUUAAUUGUAUUUUGCAUUAGCUAGACUAUUAAUUAAUUUAUCUUGCUGCUUAACAACCUACCCCAAACUCUGGAGAGAUGGCUCACCAAUUAAGAUCACUGUCUGACUAUUCUUCCAGAAGACUGAAGUUCAAUUUCCAAUACCCACAUUGCAGCUAACAACCAUCUUUAACUCCACUCCUGGGCAUCUGGUGCUCCCUUCUGGGCACUGUACACACAUGGUACAUGGUCAUACAUGCAGGCAAAAUACAAAUAAAAAUCCCCUACUCCUACACUUAGGAAAGAUUGAAUAUCUCUUCUAGAAAUGCUUAGAAUCCGCAGUUUAGAAUCAUUAAUGUUUCAGACUUUAGAGUUCUGUUUUGGUUUUGGUUUUGGUUUUGGUUUUGGGUUUUUUCUUCAUAUUUUCAAAUACUUGUAUUGGUUUUACUGGUUGGGCUCCCUAACAUGAAAGUUGAAGCACUCCAAAAAUGCUUUGAAUUUUCACAGUAGGGAUGUUGAGUUUGUAGCUUAGUCAUCUUAGCACAUAAUUCUGUAGGCUGACCGUUUGAGCUGGGACCAGCUGGUGGACUUCGUGUGGUCCUGCUGCAUUUUUGCAUUGUUAUCCUCCGCCAGGCGUCUGGGGGAAGAUGGCAUCAACGGGGUGGCUGCCCUUGGUUCUGCGUGUCUCCAUUCUCCAGUCUGAGCUUAUGGACGGCUUGACGGAGUGUAGAGAGUAGGGCUUGAAAAUAAGAGUACGGCUUUCCCACAUCCUGCUGGGCAAAGCAAACAGCAGGACAGGCCAGAUUCAAGAGGUCAGAAAGGUUCAGCCCUUGACAGGAUGGGGAGCUCCUAUGCAACCUAGCAAAGGGAGUCUGCGAGGACACAAGGUUGUAAAUAAGAGCACAUCCUCGAAAUCUGCAGUACCACAGAAAAUGUCAAUAAUCUACUGAGGGAACUAGCAAUGUUACAAAGAGAGAUGCUGGAGAGGAUGCUGUUUGUGUGGUUUAUAACACAUGACAAAAAUCUAAUGGGAUGCUGAAAUGGUCCUAGAGUAGAAAAGCCAUACACAGUCCCUCUUAUCCAUCACACUGUCUUAAAAAGCAGAAUUAAGAUGCUUAGCAGAGCACAGUUGGGCGACAGGUUCCCCCCUGUGUUCUUUUACCUUCUUAUUGAUGGGGAUGGGAAUACUGACAUCAAUGAGGGUUUGGCAGGCAGAAGGGAAAUUAAAAAAAAAAAUGUAAGAAAGUGAUUUCAUCUGUCACUCAACAACAGACCCCACCCCCUUUAAUUUGACAUGCCUGUACUGGCAUCAGUUCUGCACGCUUCUUGACAUUGCAUCUUCAAGCACUGUGGUUUUAUGUGUUGGAAGAGCAAAGAAUAAAGAGUGGGGAAGUGCCAGCCGUCUGUACCCUGGCUCCUUCUUUCAUAGUUGAAGUUAAGGACGGCUUCAGCUUGGCCUGGUUACUUGGCCUGGUAACACCCCACCCAACUCUAUCUGUUGUUAUGUUUGUAGCCUUAUAAGGGUGGAGUGAUAUCAGCCUUACAUGUCUUUGGGUCUGUAUCUGUGGUUUUGACCAGCUGUAGUUAUAAAAUGGAAAAGACAAAAAAAGUAAAACAAAGCAAAGCAAAAAAACUCAGGCUAACUGACUGGAUUUUCAACCAAGAUCUAACUAUCUAUUACGUCCAAGGAAGUCAUAUGCAAAGACAUUCCUAAACUUGGUGUCACCGGUUGGAAAUCAGCUUACCGUGAAAAUGGGUGCUGAGGAUGACAGUGUAGUGAUUCUGCAUCUGAUAAAGAAGAAUCCAAUCCAAAAUGAGUCAGGAGAGAUAAAGAGAAGCAGCUACCUACUAAUAAAGGGAACAAUUCAUCAAGAUGUAUCUACUGUAAAUAUUUUUGUACUAAGUCAUGGUCCUAGUUCAUAAAGCAGGUACUACAAGACAUAAGAAACCACAAUACAAUAAUAGUGAGAGACUUUAAUACCCAACUCUUAUAUCUACAUGGGGCUUCUACAGUUAGAAAAAUAUCAGCAAAAAAACUUCAGAGUUAAAUUAUACUAUAGACCAACUGGAUUUAACAGAUAUCUACAGAAAACAUGCCAUCCAACAGAUAGGGAAUACACAUUCCCAAAGGAUACUAAAGAGUUCCUAGAAUUGAAGGAAUGAGAUGAGAAUACACCCUACCAGACCCUAGGGUGCAGCCAAGGCAGGCCUAAUAGAAAGGGUUACAACUGAAAAAACCAGAUGUAAUUUAUUAUACACCUUGAGGUUCUUACC
This 3388-nucleotide long non-coding RNA is filed under the name Mus musculus (house mouse). RNAcentral describes it as "long non-coding RNA chr2:145712650-145716038". Lineage: Eukaryota; Metazoa; Chordata; Mammalia; Rodentia; Muridae. The record is from RNAcentral.